Molecule: ribosomal RNA, 429 nt
Filed under: Bacteroidota bacterium
Lineage: Bacteria; Pseudomonadati; Bacteroidota
Description: Bacteroidetes bacterium partial 16S ribosomal RNA
Rfam family: Bacterial small subunit ribosomal RNA
Source: RNAcentral
UAGGGAAUCUUCGGCAAUGGGGGGAACCCUGACCGAGCAACGCCGCGUGAGUGAAGAAGGUUUUCGGAUCGUAAAGCUCUGUUGUUAAGGAAGAACGAGUGUGAGAAUGGAAAGUUCAUGCUGUGACGGUACUUAACCAGAAAGGGACGGCUAACUACGUGCCAGCAGCCGCGGUAAUACGUAGGUCCCGAGCGUUGUCCGGAUUUAUUGGGCGUAAAGCGAGCGCAGGCGGUUAGAAAAGUCUGAAGUGAAAGGCAGUGGCUCAACCAUUGUAGGCUUUGGAAACUGUUUAACUUGAGUGCAGAAGGGGAGAGUGGAAUUCCAUGUGUAGCGGUGAACUGCGUAGAUAUAUGGAGAAACACCGGUGGCGAAAGCGGCUCUCUGGUCUGUAACUGACGCUGAGGCUCGAAAGCGUGGGGAGCGAACAGG